This 226-nucleotide long non-coding RNA is filed under the name Manihot esculenta (cassava). RNAcentral describes it as "long non-coding RNA (MESC_LNC005253)". The record is from RNAcentral. Lineage: Eukaryota; Viridiplantae; Streptophyta; Magnoliopsida; Malpighiales; Euphorbiaceae.
AAUGAAUAAUAAUAUACCUAAAAAUGGAGGAACUAAAGCAAAUGUUUUUAAUUUCUGCUCACUGGGCUUUUUAGCUCACCCCCUCUCCCCUAACCCCAGUCUUGCAGGUACAGUGUAGAUAGAGAAGUCAGAAGAGUAAGAGAAGUUUAUGUAAUAGAAUAGCUGUGGACAUGGUUCAAAUGUAAUGUAAAGUAUUGAAUGUAAUGUAAUGAAAGUUUAGAAAUGU